UAAUACGGAGGAUCCAAGCGUUAUCCGGAUUUAUUGGGUUUAAAGGGUGCGUAGGCGGCCUGUUAAGUCAGGGGUGAAAGACGGUAGCUCAACUAUCGCAGUGCCCUUGAUACUGAUGGGCUUGAAUACACUAGAGGUAGGCGGAAUGUGACAAGUAGCGGUGAAAUGCAUAGAUAUGUCACAGAACACCGAUUGCGAAGGCAGCUUACUAUGGUGUCAUUGACGCUGAGGCACGAAAGCGUGGGGAUCAAACAGGAUUAGAUACCCUGGUAGUCCACGCCCUAAACGAUGAAUACUCGCUGUUGGCGAUACACAGUCAGCGGCUAAGCGAAAGCGUUAAGUAUUCCACCUGGGGAGUACGCCCGCAAGGGU
Molecule: ribosomal RNA, 372 nt
Filed under: uncultured bacterium
Lineage: Bacteria
Description: bacterial SSU rRNA
Rfam family: Bacterial small subunit ribosomal RNA
Source: RNAcentral